UGGCAUAUAAUAUAAUCUAGUGUAGCCUAUAAUAUAAUUUAAAGAGGUUGUUAAUUUUGCAGAAAAUAGCUGUAAGGAUGAUUUCCCAUGUUCAUAGCCAGGCAUCCACUUUUUAAGCAAUUGAAAAAAUUGACUUUGCCUGAUGUUUAUGCGUUUGAACAUCUUUUAUACGGAAAACCUGUCUUGUAUUACAGUUAAUAGCUCUGAUCAUACUCAUUAUACUAGGCAUGCAUCAACACAAGGGUUUUACACUUUUUUCUCUUCAUUUUAUGUUGUGUUCAAUUUUCUAGUUUUUCGAAAUUUGAUUUAAACCUGACUAUGACUAUGAAUAGGCCCCGUUUCGGAAAGCCAAUUUUCCGACUCCAGCUGUUUUAAGUCUAGAACACAGCUAAAUC
Nilaparvata lugens (brown planthopper) is the source of this 395-nucleotide long non-coding RNA. RefSeq lists it as uncharacterized. Lineage: Eukaryota; Metazoa; Arthropoda; Insecta; Hemiptera; Delphacidae. The transcript is spliced from 3 exons. The record is from RefSeq and is a predicted model, not a curated record.